Fundulus heteroclitus (mummichog) is the source of this 3998-nucleotide long non-coding RNA. RefSeq lists it as uncharacterized. The transcript has 2 exons. The record is from RefSeq and is a predicted model, not a curated record. NCBI's taxonomy places the organism in Eukaryota, Metazoa, Chordata, Actinopteri, Cyprinodontiformes, Fundulidae.
AAGAAAAUGAAGCUGAAAACAGCCGGAAAUAAAAACUUCAUGAUGAAGUGAAAUCAGCCUAAAGUCAACAUUUAAUAAGAACCGAACCAGAACUUCAGGGAUGAACAAAGAUGGAGAACCUGCAGGAGGUUCCUCCGUAGAUUGCAGUUAAUCAACGUAUGCAGAUGAUUCUCGUUGUUUUUAGGACAAUUUUUCUGAUAUUUGCAUCAUUAAAAGAUCUGAUGCUCAGUUUAGAUGAAGGUUUAUUUUUAAAUAUGCCACUAAAAUAGUGUGAUGGAGGCAAAAUGUUAAUUAUCAGCAGGAGGUGGUUUCAGAGCUGCUAUUUCAGCUUUUUAACACACUUUGUCUUUGUUAGUCAGCUCUCAUUUCUGUUCACUUAAAGUUCUCUGAAGCAGAAGCAUUAAUGUCUGCAGAUGAUCACAUGAAGUUCAAACGUUUAUGUCUAAUUAACUUUGAUGCAGGAUCUUCUAUUAAUAUUGAAAACUCUGGUUAUUAUUGUGAAAUCAGACAAAUGUUUAUGUUGAAUCAUUUUCUACCAGAGGUGUCGUCACUAUCAGAAACAGAGUUGCACAAAACUUUAAUUAUUUUCUGUGGAGUUAUGGGAUGUGGACAAACAGCUUCAUUUAGUCAGUUUAACAAAGAGGAGCUUCUUUCUAAAUUUCCUCCAACAGGUCGUACAGGUUUCUGGUUUAAUGGGUCUAAAGGUUUGAUGAACUCAAUCUGACUAAAAUUAGCUAUGUGCUCAAAUUAUUAAUAAGUUAAAUUUCAUGUUUUCCUCAUUAAAAAAUCUCUGAAGACAAGGUUGAAAAUGAAACUUGUGGUGUUAAAAGCUACACGCAGAAACUAGAAGCUACGUGUCAAACAUUAGAAGAUAAAACUGGUCUCAUUGUUUGGCUUCAUCUUUCCAUUAAAGUCAGAAUUUCAAAUUACAAACAUUCUUCUUCUUUGUCCUGAAAAGUUAAAUCUUCUAAGAUCUGCUCAUUGCUGUAGCUGGUCUUCAGAUGGAGGUAAAACACUAUUAAUGACGUGAUGAAUGUAAAAAGCUCUGGUUUCUAUCAGUGUUUCAGCGUUUGCUUCCCUUGUUAAGGUGAAACCUUUGUGACACAAUAAGUGAGUUAAAUCUACAGCUGACUGAUCAGGUGGCAUUAAACAGAAAGAGCUCAGGUGUGGGCGGGCCUACAGCUUUCACAGUUAACCUGCAAUCCCCUUAAAUGUGCUGUGAAAACAUCUGGCUUUAUGCUCCUCAAAGACUUUAAUUCACUUUAAAUGUCAGGGACAGAAAAUCUGUGGAAACCGUUAAAGUGGAACUUUAAAUUAUAACAGGGAGUCCACAGGGCCGUGUACUUGGGCCACUCACUGUUUUCCACAGACACGCUCAUCAUUUCAUUUACUUUUUCAAUUAAGAGAUGAAGAAUCACAGCUAACUUGGUCAGUAUGUGUCUCAGAGAUUACAUUUCUUUCUGUAGAAUCACCAAUCCUGCUAUUUUUAUCCUUUAUAUCCAGAUUUCUGGACUCUUGACUGGCUGCUUUUAUCAGCUCAGUGGCGUAGCCUCGUCCUCACUUGUUCUCUGCAAAGCUACUUAGAGCUCUGACAUCUAAAGACUGAGAAAAUGUCCUAAAAUGUAGAAACAUUGUGAACUGGGUUAACGUUCCAUGAAGGAUUUGUUUAUUUCUGAAGGAACUCUCAUGGAUCAUUUCUGGUUUUUCUAGUGUGGAUCUUGAAAUAAUUGUGCUAAAGCUAAAUGUUUAUGGAUUCAGUCUCCAUUUGUGUUCAGACUCAUUCAAGCUGAAAAGGUCAGAGCAACAGCUGCUGUCUGAGAAAUAAUCAGCAACAGGUUGACAAUCCCGCUGAAAACAAUUCAAGACUUGAUGUGUGGAAAACAGUGGAGAGGUUUUAGAAAGUGGCUCAGACUGGAGGCAUGAAAGCAUUUUAGCAGAUAAAGAGCUCUGUUCCUGUUUACCACUAAGCUGACUUAAAUCACUGCAUCAUUUAAACGUGUGUUCACAGAUGUGAUUGGAGAAAACUUUAAGGUGUCUGGUGGGAAAAAUCAGCGCUCCGUUUUUAACCAGCUAAAAGCAAAACUAUUGAACAUGAAGCGUGUGUAAAACAGGCUGCUUACAGCUGACUGCUUAAAUCACUAAAACCUGCUCAAGGGCAAAUGUUUGAACAUGUCUUCAAUAGCAGCUGUUAAAUGUUAAAUCUCUGCUUACUGCUUAAAGUCAACCUGCUCAUGUCUUCAUCCUCCUUUUAGACUCACAAGUCAAAGUUGUGUUCAAAAAGGUUCAUUUGGUCCAAGUUUGGUGCGUUUGCUCCCAGUUCUGCACGUUUCAAGCUUUAAAAGACUUACGCAUACGUCUAACGUGUGCUGGUUGAAGCCCUUUGUGUUAAAGGGCCGACAAGAUGAUGCAGAAAAUCAACUAAACGUUUGAAAAGUGACUCUAUGCAAAGUUUGGGGGCUGAAAUUUACUGUAAAAAGUUUUUCUGAAGCUGAAAUCAAAGUGCACAGGGUUGUGAAAAUGAGCCUCUUUAGCUGAUUCUAACAGAAUAUGCCGUCCUGCUUUUCUGAUCAGUUUAAUGAACUUCCCUGUGAUACGACUGAUUGUGAAUAGAAAACAUGGUGGAGUUGCUCCUUUAAUGCAGAUUUAACCAGGCAGUUGUUGUGGAGUUUUCCAGAAAGCUGCUCUGCUUGACACUUUCUCUUUGGCUGCUUAACGCUGAAGGCCUGCUUUUCUUUGCCUUUAGCUUUUCUAAAGUCUUUCAACACAAACUAAAGUUGAAGCAGCAGAAAAAUCUUCAGUCAAACCAUGAAAAUGAAACUUUUUCAUGUUUUAUCUGCUCCUACAAAUGAUGUUGAAGACCUGAUUGUUUGUGUUGACUUUAAUGAGCUAAAGCCUUUACAACAAAAAGUCAACCUGAUACGUCUUAAACGUUUUCCUGUUUUAAACCAGAGUUAUUGGAUUAUUGAGCCAAAUUAACAAGAACCUGCAUCUUUUUAGAGAAGCCUUUCAUUUAAUUUAAGGAUUUUCUUUUUUUGUUGAAAAACUGAUUAAUUACAUUCUCACUUCUUAUUCUAACAUCGUCUCUGGAAUGUGGCUUUUACUGAAAAUGGUGUUUCUUUAAUCAGGUUAUGGUUACCAAUUUAAAAGAGUAAAUAAUUCCAAAUGGUUUAUUGAAAAUUAAAAAAUAUUUCUACAAGUUCUCUUUAAACGUUCUUUCUGAAUUUAUUGACCUAUUUGUAUAAAAAUUAUUUUCAUCAAACUGUAUUAACAGCUGGUGUUUUAAAACUGAUAUUUCUUUAAUCAGAGAAUCACUGUGGGUAACGAUGUGUAAAAUGUUUCAGGUAUUUAAACUUAAAACGUGCUUAAACUCAGCUGAACAGUAAACAUGUCUCUUUAUUUUCUGUGAAAGUCUCUUGGUUUCAAUAAAGGGUCAAAUAUCACCGAAUGUUUUAAAUACAAACUGUGUUAUCUUUGGUUUAAUUGGGUUUUUCUUCUGUGCGUAAGUCCAGUUUGAGAAAAAGGUUAUUUUUUGAUUUACAGAAAAACUGCAGAUCUGGUGGGAAAUAAAAUGCUUGGGAUUAAAGAGCCUGAUGGUUUCAGAGUUAUAAAUAAAUAAUAAAUAAAUAUAGUGUACAGAUUUUAAUCUUCUGGCAGAUUUAAAAAUGAAAGGAAUCUAACAAUCUUUUCCCAGGCUGAGUUUUAUUUAAACUUGUUCCACGGUGUUAAAGCUCUUCAUCACCUUAAAGGUUCUGGACGUGUUGCAGGAAAUCUGAUCAUUACGGGUCAAACUUAACCUGAUUAAUUAUAUGCAGCAGAUUAAUAAUCAAGUUCUGAGAGAAUGAAAAAUUAAUUUAAAAGAGAAAAAGUUAAUGAUGAAGAUUUGCUGAAGUAGCCAAAGAAAAGUUAUUUUUCAUGCUACAAAACAAACCCUGCAUAUAAAGCUCCUUAUUUUCAGAUUAAUGUGGCAGUUAAACUCUAAACCAACUAUUAGGGAAAAA